Deltaproteobacteria bacterium 13_1_40CM_68_24 is the source of this 85-nucleotide non-coding RNA. The record is from Rfam. NCBI's taxonomy places the organism in Bacteria, Deltaproteobacteria.
GGAGGAGUGGCCGAGAGGCUGAAGGCGGCGGUCUUGAAAACCGCUGGCCCGAAAGGGCUCGCAGGUUCGAAUCCUGCCUCCUCCG